UACAGAGGGUGCGAGCGUUGUCCGGAAUCACUGGGCGUAAAGGGCGCGUAGGCGGUCGGCGAAGCGUGUGGUGAAAGCCCGGGGCUCAACCCCGGGUCGGCCAUGCGAACUGGCCGACUGGAGCACGGUAGAGGCCAAUGGAAUUCCGGGUGUAGCGGUGGAAUGCGUAGAGAUCCGGAAGAACACCGGUGGCGAAGGCGGUUGGCUGGGCCGUGGCUGACGCUGAGGCGCGAAAGCGUGGGGAGCAAACAGG
Molecule: ribosomal RNA, 253 nt
Filed under: uncultured bacterium
Lineage: Bacteria
Description: partial 16S ribosomal RNA
Rfam family: Bacterial small subunit ribosomal RNA
Source: RNAcentral